UACGUAGGGUGCAAGCGUUAGUCGGAAUUACUGGGCGUAAAGCGUGCGCAGGCGGCUUUGCAAGACAGAUGUGAAAUCCCCGGGCUCAACCUGGGAACUGCAUUUGUGACUGCACAGCUGGAGUGCGGCAGAGGGGGAUGGAAUUCCGCGUGUAGCAGUGAAAUGCGUAGAUAUGCGGAGGAACACCGAUGGCGAAGGCAAUCCCCUGGGCCUGCACUGACGCUCAUGCACGAAAGCGUGGGGAGCAAACAGG
This 253-nucleotide ribosomal RNA is filed under the name uncultured bacterium. RNAcentral describes it as "partial 16S ribosomal RNA". It matches the Rfam family "Bacterial small subunit ribosomal RNA", at positions 524 to 776 of the family's 1533-position model. The record is from RNAcentral.